UCUAAUAUGGCAGAUUAGUGCGAUGGAUUUAAACCCCACUAAUAAAGUUACACCUUUUUUUAGAA
Molecule: transfer RNA, 65 nt
Filed under: Tychobythinus sp. 1 EF-2015
Lineage: Eukaryota; Metazoa; Arthropoda; Insecta; Coleoptera; Staphylinidae
Description: tRNA-Leu
Source: RNAcentral